RNAcentral lists this transfer RNA (71 nucleotides) under Loxodonta africana (African savanna elephant). It matches the Rfam family "tRNA". Rfam says of the family: Transfer RNA (tRNA) molecules are approximately 80 nucleotides in length. Their secondary structure includes four short double-helical elements and three loops (D, anti-codon, and T loops). The record is from Rfam by way of RNAcentral. Lineage: Eukaryota; Metazoa; Chordata; Mammalia; Proboscidea; Elephantidae.
GCAGUGGUGGUUCAAUGGUGGAAUUCUCAUCUUCCACGCAGGAGACCCAGGUUCAAUUCCUGGCCAAUGUA